Non-coding RNA from Heterocephalus glaber (naked mole-rat), 57 nucleotides. The record is from Rfam. Lineage: Eukaryota; Metazoa; Chordata; Mammalia; Rodentia; Bathyergidae.
CGCUGAGUAUCUGCAGGACCUUGGGAUCGGAAAGUGACACCCUCUUCGAAUUGAAAG